Molecule: ribosomal RNA, 426 nt
Filed under: uncultured Acinetobacter sp.
Lineage: Bacteria; Pseudomonadati; Pseudomonadota; Gammaproteobacteria; Moraxellales; Moraxellaceae
Description: bacterial SSU rRNA
Rfam family: Bacterial small subunit ribosomal RNA
Source: RNAcentral
GUGGGGAAUAUUGGACAAUGGGCGAAAGCCUGAUCCAGCCAUGCCGCGUGUGUGAAGAAGGCCUUUUGGUUGUAAAGCACUUUAAGCGAGGAGGAGGCUACCUGGAUUAAUACUCUAGGAUAGUGGACGUUACUCGCAGAAUAAGCACCGGCUAACUCUGUGCCAGCAGCCGCGGUAAUACAGAGGGUGCGAGCGUUAAUCGGAUUUACUGGGCGUAAAGCGUGCGUAGGCGGCUUUUUAAGUCGGAUGUGAAAUCCCUGAGCUUAACUUAGGAAUUGCAUUCGAUACUGGGAAGCUAGAGUAUGGGAGAGGAUGGUAGAAUUCCAGGUGUAGCGGUGAAAUGCGUAGAGAUCUGGAGGAAUACCGAUGGCGAAGGCAGCCAUCUGGCCUAAUACUGACGCUGAGGUACGAAAGCAUGGGGAGCAA